UACGUAGGGUGCAAGCGUUGUCCGGAAUUAUUGGGCGUAAAGAGCUCGUAGGCGGUCUGUCGCGUCUGCUGUGAAAACUCGGGGCUUAACCCCGGGCCUGCAGCCGAUACGGGCGGGCUAGGAUUCGGUAGGGGAGACUGGAAUUCCUGGUGUAGCGGUGAAAUGCGCAGAUAUCAGGAGGAACACCGGUGGCGAAGGCGGGUCUCUGGGCCGAUAUCGACGCUGAGGAGCGAAAGCGUGGGGAGCGAACAGG
RNAcentral lists this ribosomal RNA (253 nucleotides) under uncultured bacterium. RNAcentral's name for it is "partial 16S ribosomal RNA". It matches the Rfam family "Bacterial small subunit ribosomal RNA", at positions 524 to 776 of the family's 1533-position model. The record is from RNAcentral.